UACAGAGGGGGCAAGCGUUGUUCGGAAUUACUGGGCGUAAAGGGCGCGUAGGCGGCCUGCUAAGUCGAACGUGAAAUCCCCGGGCUCAACCCGGGAACUGCGUCCGAUACUGGCAGGCUUGAAUCCGGGAGAGGGAUGCGGAAUUCCAGGUGUAGCGGUGAAAUGCGUAGAGAUGUGGAGGAACACCGAUGGCGAAGGCAGCCCCCUGGGUCAACACUGACGCUCAUGCACGAAAGCGUGGGGAGCAAACAGG
Molecule: ribosomal RNA, 253 nt
Filed under: uncultured bacterium
Lineage: Bacteria
Description: partial 16S ribosomal RNA
Rfam family: Bacterial small subunit ribosomal RNA
Source: RNAcentral